GUAGGCCGUGGCUAUAAAGCUAUAGCGGCAACUUCUGGUGGUCUUGGAGCUACAUAUGAAGUACUAGAAGACGUUGCUGAAAACAAACCGAUUGAUGUUAAAGAAGCAGCUCUUACUGGAGCAAUUAGUGCUGUGGGCGUUCCUGUUACUAUAGCAGGCGCUAGGACAGUUGCUAACAUAGUUCAAGAUAAGGUUUCCAA
RNAcentral lists this ribosomal RNA (200 nucleotides) under uncultured eukaryote. Its description in RNAcentral is "partial 18S ribosomal RNA". The record is from RNAcentral.